AUUGAACGCUGGCGGCAUGCUUUACACAUGCAAGUCGAACGGCAGCGCGGGCUUCGGCCUGGCGGCGAGUGGCGAACGGGUGAGUAAUACAUCGGAACGUGCCCAGUAGUGGGGGAUAGCUCGGCGAAAGCCGGAUUAAUACCGCAUACGACCUGAGGGUGAAAGCGGGGGAUCUUCGGACCUCGCGCUAUUGGAGCGGCCGAGGGCAGAUUAGCUAGUUGGUGGGGUAAAGGCCUACCAAGGCGACGAUCUGUAGCUGGUCUGAGAGGACGACCAGCCACACUGGGACUGAGACACGGCCCAGACUCCUACGGGAGGCAGCAGUGGGGAAUUUUGGACAAAGGGCGAAAGCCUGAUCCAGCAAUGCCGCGUGUGUGAUGAAGGCCUUCGGGUUGUAAAGCACUUUUGGCGGGAACGAAAAGGACUGUGCCAAUACCACGGUUCGAUGACGGUACCCGCAGAAUAAGCACCGGCUAACUACGUG
RNAcentral lists this ribosomal RNA (484 nucleotides) under uncultured bacterium. RNAcentral describes it as "partial 16S ribosomal RNA". It matches the Rfam family "Bacterial small subunit ribosomal RNA", at positions 29 to 507 of the family's 1533-position model. The record is from RNAcentral.